Molecule: ribosomal RNA, 104 nt
Filed under: Laceyella tengchongensis
Lineage: Bacteria; Bacillati; Bacillota; Bacilli; Caryophanales; Thermoactinomycetaceae
Description: partial 23S ribosomal RNA
Rfam family: Bacterial large subunit ribosomal RNA
Source: RNAcentral
UGUGGAAGUAAGACCCCUUGUAGAUGACGAGGUUGAUCGGUCCGGGGUGUAAGCGCAGCAAUGCGUUUAGCUGACGGAUACGAAUCGGUCGAGGGCUUAUCCUA